CACCGGCAGCUCUAGUGGUAGCAGUUUUUAUUGGGCCUAAAGCGUCCGUAGCCGGUUUAAUAAGUCUCUGGUGAAAUCCUGUAGCUUAACUGUGGGAAUAGCUGGAGAUACUAUUAGACUUGAGACCGGGAGAGGUUAGAGGUACUCCCAGGGUAGAGGUGAAAUUCUGUAAUCCUGGGAGGACCGCCUGUUGCGAAGGCGUCGAACUGGAACGGUUCUGACGGUGAGGGACGAAAGUUAGGGGCGCGAACCGGAUUAGAUACCCGGGUAGUCCUAACUGUAAACGAUGCGGACUUGGUGUUGGGGUGGCUUUGAGCUGCUCCAGUGCCGAAGGGAAGCUGUUAAGUCCGCCGCCUGGGAAGUACGGUCGCAAGACUGAAACUUAA
Molecule: ribosomal RNA, 386 nt
Filed under: uncultured methanogenic archaeon
Lineage: Archaea; Methanobacteriati; Methanobacteriota
Description: bacterial SSU rRNA
Rfam family: Archaeal small subunit ribosomal RNA
Source: RNAcentral